Molecule: non-coding RNA, 701 nt
Organism: Lonchura striata (white-rumped munia)
Lineage: Eukaryota; Metazoa; Chordata; Aves; Passeriformes; Estrildidae
Source: RefSeq, a predicted model, not a curated record
GUCAGAGUUCAGCAGCAGCUCCCUGAAUCUGAGUGGAGCCCGCCUGGUCUCUGACUAUAUUCAACUUCUUGAAGUGUACAAAGGAGCUGACUGGGGCAGGAUCACAGCUAUGGAACAUGGGCAAGGGAAUGGUACAGGCUCAAUGCCAGCAGCCCCUGGUAGACAGCCUGAGCAUGAGGAACCUUGUGCCAAGGCAGCAGAUGGAUGGAUCAUCAUAAAAGCUGGGGCAUCUCAGGUGUGCUGAUUCAGUGAGUAGUUUGGACAGCUUUAUGGACUGCUCCUUCUCCAGCUCUGUGAUACUCUUCCAUGAAACUAUGCCACCUCGUCCACACUUACGUCUCUCUUCUACCACCUCUGAAUGUCUCUCUGCCAUUUUUAUCUGCACUGAUAUUGUUGGCUACAUUUAUGCUCUACUAAUUACUCCACUUGGAAAAAUUUAAUUGUAAGCCUUUCCUUGAGUAUCUUGGCUCACAUGCUUUUCACUUGAGUCCUCACAAAAUUACAGGGCUCCUUUCUUCUCAGUCACGUGCUCCAGCUGCUUUUUACUCUCACAUCUCAGUGGUUUGUGGUCCUUCCCCCUCCAGUUCUUCCCUCUGUUCACUGGGGAUGCUUUCUCUUUGUAUUUGUGAGAUAUAACAACACAGCUCCAGCAAGCCAUGUGUGAGAGAAAUUCAUUGCAAACUGGUGAUAGUCCCCGUGUU